This 13600-nucleotide long non-coding RNA is filed under the name Medicago truncatula (barrel medic). RNAcentral describes it as "long non-coding RNA (MTRU_LNC006723)". The record is from RNAcentral. Lineage: Eukaryota; Viridiplantae; Streptophyta; Magnoliopsida; Fabales; Fabaceae.
UGUUACUCAAUGUCCUUCCAUCCCUACUAGUCCACCACCAGCAACAAGCUUACAAAAUUUCCUUAAACUAAAAAACGUGGCUCACCCACCACCACCAUCACCAUCAAUUCUUAAUCUUCAAUCAUCUUGGAACAUAUGAGAUAUUUUGUAGUCAUGGGUUUGAAAGGAUUUUUAAGAAAAUUCUUUAUGUGAUGAUGAAUGUUGUUGUUUCCCACAAUAGGCAAUGAGAAAGGCUUUGGUUACCCUGAAUUUGUUGCCAAUUCCAUCUGGGCAAUGCCCUCCCAUUGCCGUACAUAAAUAUAGAAAAAUCCACAACCUUCAAGAUUUGAUUUUGUUUAUUUGAGUUGUUUGAUUUUAAUUUGAUUUAUGGGUUAUAGGUGAUGAAGAUUUUGAAGAGUUUUUAAUUUCUGUAAUUGAAUUGUUGAGUUUUAAUUCUGAGUUAAAGGUUGAAUGUGACAUGGCAUUAAGGAGAGAUAGUGGAGGAAGAUGAUGGAAAAACUUCUCUUUCCCAUGCUAAACUCUACCAGAAAGUACCACUAGUGUUAAAGGAUAUAUACUACUCCCCCGUUUUAUAAUACUUAACACAAUUGACUUUAUUACGCAUUAUAAUGCAUAACUUUGAGUUUAAAUAUCUUGAAUAAUAUAUUAGAAAAAAUAUGAAAAUUUGAUAUUUUGAAAAUACUCAUCGAGACAAAUCUAACGACGUCUUAUUUGAUACUACCUCCGUCCCUAAUUAUAAGACAUUUUUGAUAAUUUUUUUUUCCUUUUUAUAAGACCCAUUUUCUAUUUCCAACUACAUUAAUUAUUUCUUUACAUACAUGCCCCUAUUUAUUAUAGAUAUUUUUCUUCAAUCAGCAAUAAAUAGAAUGUUGAAAACAUAAGCCAACCCUCUUUCUUAAAGGAUAAAAUUGUAAAAACAAUAGUAAUUAUAAACGUAUUUAAUAUAAAUAUCCACUAUCUUAAUUCCCGUUAUUUUUUCAAAAGAGCCUUGUAAUUAGGGACGGAUGUAGUAUUAUUUAUCUUUGUAUAUUAAUAAAAAAAAUAUGGUCAAAGUAAGCUAAAUCAAAAUUGAAAUUUUUUAAAUGAGUAAUCUAUUGCGUGACGGAGGAAGACAUAAUAAUGAAAGUAUAAACACGUGUCACUGUUUGAACUCGGAUAGAUGUGAACGGUAUUGUGUGUGUUGUGUGAGUGCCAUGUGGGUUUAAAGCUGACCCCACCCCACACACACUGACGCUGCAUUUGGAAAUACUAACUAUAGGAAGGAAGGUGAUGCCAAACUUCCUCUUACCAAAUCCAAAUGCAACCCAUCGAUCAUACUUACUUAGACCAAUGAGCUUCUGCGCUUUCUGUUAUCGUCACUUAUUUGAAUGGUGUUCAGGGCAGUCUUAAGGGUGCAAACAAUUCUACUGAAUUUGGCUUUUAAAUUUUGGGGGUCUAAAUGUUUUAGCGCGAAAAUAUUGUCACAAUUGUUUUCUCGUUCUAGCAGUAGUAGCGCGUUUGCCAUGCAUGGGUCAGGUGUUCAACAUCCACAAUCCCUUUUUUCUUUUAAAUUUGCCUGUUCUUUUUUUUUUUUUUUUGAUUAAUUUUUCUUUUUCUUUUCCUUUUCUUCUUCUUCUUUCUUCUUUGAUUGAUUUUUCUAUCCCUUUUUUCUCUUUUCCUUUUUUUUUUCUUUUAUUAAUUUUUUUAAUUUGAGUCUAUUCUAUCCUCAAUAGUCUAUUUUUUUGGUUAAAUCUCAAUACUCUAUUCAAUUCAACCAAAUUCUCCUUAACAUAUUAGAUUAUAUAUUUACAAAUGAAAAUACAAUAUAAUUUUUUUUAGAGUAUUACUUGUAGUUUUUCGUCCAUACUUAUCGUAUAAAAUAGUCAAGCUCUAAUUCUCUAACAACAAACAUCAUAAUUUUUUUUAAAGAACAAACAUUAUAAUUAUUCUCUCAAAUAAAACAUUAUAAACCUUUUAUUUUUACAUGUGUGCAAAUUAACUAGGGAAAUUAACAACCUAAAAGAUUGAUAAAGAUAUUAGCUUGAAGUUGUGUUUUUAUUUUUACAGAUCUUAUUUUCAAUUUAAAUAGAUGAUUGCUCUUUUAAAAAAAUUACAUUUUUAUUUUAUUAGGGGUCUGUUUUUGAUUGAGAGCCGAACCUCCAAAUAUAUAGGGACGACCCUAAUGGUAUUUAGACGACAAUAGCGCAUUUAAGAAGAAAAAAACAAUAGAUGAAUACUUAAGAUAAAUUAUUUAAAUGAAAGAAACCAAUUUGAUUAAAAAAGUGAGAAGAAAAAUGUCAUUAAUAUCACCAAAAUGCAACACGUAUUUUGCAACCGAGUUAAGCCAUAAUGUGCAGGUCACUGGUGUUGAUUGAUUAUGAUAUUAUAGCUUAUGAUUUUUUUUUUCAUUUGAUAGUCUCAAGAAUAAUACAAAUCAACAUAGGAUAGUAGUAUUAAUAAUAACGAUAAUGAUGAUGUGAUACUUACCAAUAAUUUGCACAAUUUGUUCCCUUAUUAUGUUAAGAGAGUCCACGUAAAGUAAAGUACGUACUAUUUGAACAUUUUUAUUUUUUUUGUGAGAACUUUUUGAACUUUCGCUAUGUAUUAUGAUAUGAAAAAUCCAAAUUAAGUUAACGUGAGGAGUGAACACAAAUAAUUGAUAUAUUGAGGUUCAAAUCCUACAUCUUUUGAAACUUGGAAGAGAAAAUUGAUUACGUUGUUGAUAAUGAGGAUUUCGUGAUAGGAUAGACGUGGCCUGAUUUGAGAGUCCGUUUUGAUACAAUUUUGUUGAAUCUAAAAAAUAUUAUUCUUUGCUAAAAAAAAAUAUUAUUCUAAGGAGUUUUCAUUAAUUUGUAACAUUUUUAUAAAAACGAGAAUCUAAAAAACAAAAUAAAAAAAACAGUUUUAAAUGAGAAAUGUUUUGAGUGACUUCUUUUUAAACUAAUUUUUUAUAGUCUUCACUUAGGACAAAUAAACACAUAGCUGCUUCUUUUAUUCUAAAAAGCCUCUUAAUUUUUUUGAAGCCACUUAUUUAAAUGAUUGUUAUUCUUUUUUAUAAUCUAUGAUUUGUUUUUUUUCCCAGAUUGAUUUAAUGAUUCAAACACUACAAAUUUGAAAAUACUACUAAAUCAUACUCCCUCCGUCCCAAAUUGUAAGACGUUUUUGUCAUUUCACACGUAUUAAGAAAUGUAAUUAAUAUUGCGUGGGGAAGAGAAAUUAUGAGUUGUUUUACAAAAUUAUCCCUAAUAAAUGGUAUGGAAAAGAUAAAUGAAAUAAUUGAAAGAAGAUAGAGUAAUUAAUAGUUAAGGAUAUAAUAGGAAAAGUAACAUAAAUAUUUCAUUGGUAUUGUAAAGCGACAUAUAAUUUGGGACAAUUUUUUUUUCUAAAGCGACGUACAAUUUGAGACGGAGGGAGUAAGAAUAUAGUUUAAUUUCAUGCUUACAAGUUUCCCCAACACGUUUUCGAUCAUUCCUAGAAACACGUAUUUUGACCAAAUUAGUAAAUGACAAAAAACAAUCUGUAAAAAAGAAAAAUAGAACUGAGAAACAAGAAAACUUAUUUACUAGGACUCGUUUACAUUUUACAUACUUGCUUUUAUUCAAGCUAUUCGAUUUAAGACUUGUCUUUGAAUCUCCAACCUCCAAUCCAAUUUUUCUUUUGAUUCUCUAAAUAAGACUAUAUCAUUGCAAUGUAUGAGAUAUUUACUUGCAAGUGAUGAUAUAAUAUUAAGAGUUUUGUUAACGAAUGCUCCCGGGACAGUAAUUAUUCUUUUAAAAUAAAAAAGUUUUCAAAUUUUCAAUGCACUGAUUACACAAACUUCUAUAAAAAAAUUAUUAUUUUAGGUCCUUAACCAGUGCCCGGGGGCACUAGUUAACAUUUCCCUAAUAGUUAAAAUACAACAAAAAUCCUUUUAAGUUUGGAGUUUGAAACACAUGGAUUUUAAGUUUUUAGGUUAAAUAAUAUAUUUUUAGUCCUUAAAUUUUGCACUCAUUUGAAGAAUAGUCCAUACAUUUCACCAAAUGUUUUUAAAAUCAUCACAUUUUAUCCCCGUUAUCAAAAUUAGUCAAUGUUGUUAAUUCUCUAACGGAAUGUUGAUGUGACAGUUAGUGAGUCUCAAUUAUUUUAAGGUUAAAUAUGUUUUUGGUCCUUACAUUUUGCGUGACUUUGAAAAAUAGUCCUUACAUUUCAAUAAAUAUUUUUAAAAUCCCUAAUUACAUUUUUGAUAAACAAGCAAAAAAGAAACUUAACAAGAGAAAAAAUAUGUCCCUUCAAAAAAAAAAGAGAAAAAAUAUGUCAUUUUGUUAAAGUUUCCAUUGAAUUUAUAUGAGUAUUAGUCUAUGUGAUAUAUAUUUAAUUAGUUUUUUUUUCUUCUUAUAUCGCGGUUUGGUUAGGUUGGGAAAAUCAAAACCGCGGACCAAACCAAACCAUACAGUUGAGUAAAAAAAUGAUCUAAAUACAUCCAAACCAUAUGCAAUUUUUUGCGAUUUUAAUUUAGAUUGGUUUAAUUUGCGGUUUUUAUUUUGAAUUGGUUGGAUUUUCAACAUUUCUAUUCUCCAUACCAUGUCACCAAGAAACCAUAUGGAUUGCAACGUUACUAUUGUAGUGUCUCUAGUUUUGUUGAUUUCUGAUUUUGGUACCUCAAUUUUAAAAUUUGGAUAUAUAUGCAUUUUAGUUUCCAAAAUUUUAUAAACUUCUCCAUCACCUAAUAUUGUUAGACUUAUCUUUAUUAAUGUGCAAUGUGAAUAAUGAGGUAACAAAUCAUUGGAAGAUAUUGUUUUAAUUAGUGCUGCUACUUUAGAGAUUUCUUUCCCAAGACAACUUUAUAAAAAUGCAGAUAUAAGAGGAUAAAAAAAUUUCACUUUCGCACUUUAGAAGAUGAGACUUGAGAGAAUGAAAAAUUAAAGGAGAAAUGAGUAGUGUGAAGGAAUUUCAAAAGGAAUAUUUCUUACGAAACAAUGAUAUUUCAUUUGUAAAAAAGGAAAUUAUAAAAUCUUUAUAAACAGUUUCAUAUGAAUAUAAGUGCUAAGAUUUGUUUUUUUAAAAUACAUAUUUAUUUACAUAUUUAAAAGAAUAAUUUUAUUUCAAUUUCAAUUUCUUUUAUUAUGCACUACCAUUUCUUUAUAUGCAAUCGAGUACGAAUGAAAUAUGUUUUGAUUCACUCUUUAAUCUUUCAUACAGAUUAAUUGAACAUCAGGAUGUUUGAUCGUUGGUGGGUGAAAGAGAGUGAAAUUUUAGAGUGACAAUGAAUGAAAUCAAGAUUUUAAGAAAAUUUAUAUAAAAGGACAAUUUUGGUAUUAUCAAAAACUUUUUAAAAAAACUGGGUGUAACUAGAAAUAUAUAGGGUGUGAAUAGAAUUACCCUUCCAUAAAAUUAAAUUUUCAAAAAGCAUUUUCCUUUUUUCUUGGUUACAUCCUAAAUUCCCUCUUCAGUUUAAGUAGGUCAUGUAAACUUAGUUUCAGUAGGUCAUGUAAACUGAGUUUAAGUGUACAUACUUAAACUCAAUUUAAGUAGGUCAUGUAAACUGAGUUUAAGUGUACAUCUAAAAGUUCAACAUUGUUCAAUGAUUAUACGUAAUAUCAGUUUAAGUAUGUAAAUGUAAACUUAUUUUAAGUAGGUCAUGUAAACUAAGUUUAAGUGUACAUACUUAAACUCAGUUUAAGUAGAUCAUUUAACUUAGUUUAAGUAUCAUGUAAACUGAGUUUAAGUGUACAUCUAAAAGUUCAACAUUGUUCAAUGAUUAUAUGUAAUAUCAGUUUCAGUAUGUACAUGUAAACUUAGUUUAAGUAGGUCAUGUAAACUGAAUUUAAGUGUACAUAUUUAAACCCAGUUUAAGUAGGUUAUGUAAACUAAGUUUAAGUAGAUUAUGUAAACUAAGUUUACAUGAACCUACUUAAACUGAAUUUAAGUUAACCUCAACAAUGUAAAACUGAAACUGUCGUACAGUGCAGUUGAACAAGAAGAAAAUUGAAACCAGUGUUAUUGAAAAAGAAGAAAAAAUUCACUUAUUUAUAUGCAAUCGAGUAUGAAUGAAAGAUGUUUUGAUUCACUCCUUAAUCUUCCAUAGAGAUUAAUUGAACAUCAAGAUUGUUUGAUCGUUGGUGGGUGAAAGAGAGUGGAAUUUUAGAGUGACAAUGAAUGAAAUCAAGAUUUUAAGAAAAUUUAUAUAAAAAGAAAAUUUUGGUAUUAUCAAAAACUUAAAAAAAAAACUCGGUGUAACUAAAAAUAUAUAGAGUGUGAAUAGAAAAAUUCUUCUUUUAAUUAUAAAAAAAAAUAAUGACAAAAUACAUCAACAUUUAUUAAUUCAUAUGCCUCCUUUAAAUAGGAGGAAGUAAUUGUCAAGCAAUAUGGAAUAUGAUGAUCUAAAUCUAAAGUUAGAUAAAAGAUAAGUAAACCAUAAUCCAAUUGCUAUUCCAGUAAAAAAAAAUUCCGAUAUUUAUGGAAUAUUUAACUUGAGGGUUAUACUAACAUGUGUUGUAAAGACACUUUUAAGAAUUCUACAAAUAAUGAAAUGAUAAGUAAUUUUAUGCAUAUAGGGUUAUAGCCUCUAAUUUCUUAGGUGGUCUCCAGCAACGGCGUCAAAAACUUAAUAGAUGUUUGGCAAGUGUACCAAAUACUAUCGAAGUAGUAAAAAUAUCGUUCCCACAAGGACUGAUUUUAAUCUCAAUAAUUCAAUUACGUUGUAAGUUAGGAUGUAUAAAAGUUCUUUUGAUUUGCCACUAGACAUUUGAUUGGUUUGAUUGCAUAAAAUUAAUAACAGAAAUUAAAGAUUGGUUUUAAGAAUAAGAGAGAAAUGAGUUUAGGUCUUUCGAAUCAUCUAUGUUCCCCUAAUUGAUAUAAUGCACAUAUUCUUGUGAAUGAUUAACUAGUUCUACGAUAGUUAACAAAAUAGUCCUAAUCAAUCCCUUGAGUUAGGACCCUCUUCUAGGGUUACAACCCCUAAUUCCUUAGGUGGUCUAAUAAUCGUUGAAGGUUUAAACACGUUAACCUAAUGUCACUAAUAAAUGAUUAUUCAUUCCUAACCUAAUCAUGUUUAUUAGAAAAAUUCAAUUAAGUCUAAGUCAAAAACUAUGAUCAGUAAUCAUUCGUUCUCAGUAAAUCAUAUUUAUAUUUGAUCAUGAUAUAAAAAACAUUAAUAACAAUCUAACAAUUUUAUGCAUAUACUUAAAAUACCUUUUAUUUAGGGUCGUGACAAAUCAAAUAUUUCUCCUAAACUGCACCAAAUUGAAUCAUUAUCAAGGGUAUAUUCAAAUCAAUAAUUUCCGGGUCCUACUUACCUUUUAGCGUAUAAAGAUUUCGGUUGACUUGGGGAUGGUUGUUGAUAUCCAAAGUCUUUACAUCUUAUAUAGUACAUGAAAUAAAAAUCAGUCUAAUUCUAUCUAUUUGCUUGGCUAUUUCCUCCAAUAUUCCUAGAAGCUUCUUCUUUUCCCAUAUAAAAACUCAAAUCGUCUCAUUAUGCCUUUCAUUCAUCCACCUAUAGCUACUCACUGCAACCUUUUCUUAAACCAACAAUAACAUCAAAGCAAGCUGGUUCUAAAUUCUUUACCAAAAUGGCUGCAAAACGGUUUUUCGAUGAUUCUAAUCAAGACAAAGACAAACCAAAUGACAAACGGAUAAGAACUACAACAAUACCUUCUUUUGCUUCGUAUGUUUUUGUUUCUCAAACCAAUUACUACCCAACCCAAUAUUCAUUCAUUCUAUCAUAUUCUUUCAAUUCAUUCAUUUUAGAAAACUACUCUUUGCUUAAAAAAAACAUUUUUUUAUGUUCCAACUUUAUAUAUAGCUUGAUUAUUAAAUGUUGCAUAAUAUAUAUCCUCUACUAUACAUUAAUUACUCUCAAUUCUCAUGUGGCAGGGUGAUAGGAGAAGUUGUUAUGGUGAAAAACAUGCAAAACCUUUUCUCUGGCUUGGAACCUUUACUUAGAAGAGUGGUAAGUAACCAUAAUUUCGAAAUGAAAUUAAUGUCAACCAUACCUUGACUAAAUUUAUCUCCUAACAAACAAAUAAAAGUUGUAACAAACAUGUCUUUAAUAUGAUCAGGUGAAUGAAGAGGUUGAACGAGCAAUGAGACAAUGUUAUCCACCAGUACGAUCAAUAACAAAGUCACCUUCAUUGAGACUUGAAGGAAUGGAAGAACCAUUAAGUUUGCAAUUCAUGUUCAAAAAUAAACUUUCACUUCCAAUAUUCACCGGUAGCAAAAUACUAGACAUGGAUGGAAACUCAAUCAGUGUGAUUCUUGUUGACCGAAGCAAUGACCAAGUAGUCCCUACAAGUCUAUCACACCCAAUCAAGAUAGAAAUUGUAGUUCUUGAUGGAGAUUUUCCUCCUAGUAAAAAGGAAUCAUCAUGGACUAGUGAGGAAUUUAAUAACAGUAUUGUGAAAGAGAGAACUGGGAAAAGGCCAUUGCUUACAGGAGAAUUAAAUCUUACUAUGAGGGAUGGAAUUGCACCAAUUGGUGAUAUUGAGUUCACUGAUAAUUCAAGUUGGAUACGUAGUAGAAAGUUUAGAGUUGCUGUUAGAAUUGCUCCUGGGACUAAUCAAAGUGUCCGAAUUCUUGAAGGCAUGACAGAAGCUUUUGUUGUUAAGGAUCACCGUGGAGAAUGUCAGUUUUCUUUCUCUUUCUUUUAUAUUUUAUCAAUCAAUUCAAUAUACUUUCAUAUCAUAUCCAAUGAGAAUCCAAUAUGUUAGGGUAAUUUUUUACAAGACUUAUAAGCCAAUAUGAUGAACUGUGAUAGGAUAUUGGUGUAAUACUAAUUCACACUGAAAAUGCACUUUCAAGAUAUUCUAAUUUAUUGAUUAGAAUAUGUAUAAUAACUUUAUUUUUCUAUGAUUUCUUUCUUGGUCAAAUGAUUGCAUAGAAAAUGAUCCUCUUCAUUUAAAUGCAUCACAUUGAAGCUAAUUAAACUAGCUACCUGGUAUAUAUGCUUUGGUGGUAGCUGCAGCUUUAAUUAAGAAAUGAUGUGUUGUUAAUAACUACGUUUAGUUUAUUUUAAGGUUGUUGGGAUAUAACUAAAAUAAAGGAUGAUAUAGGGUCAACCUUUUUAGUCUUAUAUAUAAUAGUUGUUCUCUACAAUAUUUGUUUCCUAACAAUAAUAUUUUUCGUACAAAUGAAGUGUACAAGAAACAUCAUCCACCAAGUCUAAAGGAUGAAGUUUGGCGCUUAGAGAAGAUUGGUAAAGAUGGAGCUUUCCACAAAAAGUUGACCUUAGAAGGGAUUACAACAGUUCAAGAGUUUCUCAAGUUGUCUGUAGUUGACCCUCUUAGGCUCAGAAAGGUACAUAUCCAUCCAUCUUAAUCUAUAUGAAUGAAUAAAUAUACGUUGCCAAAUUUAAGAAUGUAAUAAAUAACAUUCUCUCAAUUGUAUGGUUUUGCAAUCAGAUUUUAGGCAUUGGUAUGUCAGAGAAAAUGUGGGAUGUGACAAUUAAACAUGCAAAGACUUGUGUAAUGGGAAACAAACUCUAUGUUUACCGUGGGCCCCAAUUUACCAUCCAUUUGAAUGCAAUAUGCCAAAUGGUUAGAGCUAACAUCAAUGGCCAAACCAUUCCCAACCGAGACAUUUGCAACAUGGACAAGGUACAUUUAUUUAUUUAUACUAAAACUCACCUUGUUCAAUCUCUUUAAUUACUACUACCCAUUGAUUUUUAACCUAUAUUGUUCAUUUAAUUUGCAGAGCUACAUACAAAACUAUGUGAGAGAAGCAUAUGCUAGAUGGAAUGAGUUGGAGGAAAUUGAUGAAGUUUUGAAUGACAACGUUGCUUUGUUAACUCAAGGUAUGUUCAAAUAAUCAAUAAUAAGUUAUUACUUCUAUGUGACUAUGCAAAAUUAUUUAACCAAAAGUAAAUUUCCAAUUGAAAAAUGAAAUUCAGAGUGAGAUAAUAAAUUCAAUUAUUAUGAAUUAAUUUAUUUAUUGAAUAUCUCUUCUCUAUAUACAGGUGAAACCAUGGAGCAAUUUCCAAACAAUAAUCAUCAAGAACCAGUUAUAACAUAUGAUCAAAACAACUAUUUUGGUGAUAAAUCUCUAGAGAAUGGCAACUAUGUAGCAAACAAUAAUAAUGCACAAAUAGGUUGCACCGAUUGGUCAUCAUUUCCCACAUCACCAUUCAUGAAUGGCAUGCCUUACAGCUUCCCAGAUUCACAAUCAGACGGUGGUGAUAUAAGACCUCAUUGAUGGAGCUUCAAGGUGGAAUUAGCAGUUGGAGUAUAAAUAGUGCUUUAGAGUUUUAGUCGGAAAUUGCUCUUCUCCCUUCUUUUUUUUUUCUUUUUUUCCGCUCAUUCAAUUGCCUACAGUGUGUUAACUCACGUUAAAAAAUGCCCGCGUGAGUUAACUCACGCCGAUCAUAAUUAAGGGGGGAAUGGACAAUUUUAAAAGGGUGAAGAGUAAUUUUUGUCCUAGUGUCAAGUGCUGGCUCAAAAAAUGCAGUGUCUUUUGACUUAUGUUGGGCUCUCACUUUAAUCUCUGUUUCUAGUUAGACUAGGCAUAGUUAUUUUCUAGGCCCAUUAUAAGGUUGUGUGAAACAUGGGCAUUGUUUGUUCCUCUUCUGCACAAAAAAAUGCAAACCUGCCUCUACCAGGCCAGUGUUAGUAUGUUUAUCAUAAUUUCGAUGAAUUACAAUUUGAUCAAAAAGCAAUUAACAAGGAUCAAAUAUUGCAAAUCUUUUAUAAGCAGAAUAAGUGAAAAAUUCGAGGUUCUGGUGACAUUCCCGACUUCUUGCCGUAAAGUUAGAAGGUCCUUGCAUGUUUAUUUUAUUGAUUGUAAUAACUUGUGUUUUCCUGCCAAUAGCCUAAUGUAAAAAGGUAAGCGGUUGAAUGAAUUAAUCCCCUAUAGUCAAUAACAAAUUUCACAGGGGUUUUACGUUUUAUUUUACAGAGAGAGAUAUGCAGUCAAUUCUAGCAAAAAAUUAAUCAUCACUAUGAUUCCAUAAGGACAUACAAAAACUUGUUUGGCCAGUUUCAUGAGAAAAAAAAUAACAUCCUAGAUAAAGGGAGCAACCUUCACAUGUUUCCAUUCAGCAAAAUAUUAGCUAGUUCUAAAGUAAUACUAUGUGUGAAUCAAAACCUAUUGAAAUUGUAGUAUACUAUCUAAAGUAAUAUGAACAAGUUCGUGAUUUAAUUUCUAAAGGUUUAACAACUACAAUUGAGUGCAUUCCCUUUCUAUAAACAAUUAGCUUUAUGUGUUCAUAAAGAAUCAAUAAAUUAUGGGCGACUAAUCCGGCUCGUGCGCAGAGGCAUGCACACUACACUGGCCAAGCGUUGUUCCCCCUGGAAAUCGAACCCGAUAUUUCCCGGUUACAUCCUUGGAAGGAGUUCCUUGCCACUAGAGCUCAAACAACUUUUUUAUAAAGAAACAAUAAAUUAUACUACUUGAAUAUAUAAUUUAUAUACUUAUCUUUAUGUGUCUGAUAAUACAUAUUAUAAAAGAAAUUAUUAAAUUAAUUUUUCACACUUAGGGUUUGUUGUGCUAGGUUUUUUACUCCAUGUAGUAUUUCAAAAUCACUUUGCCGCGUAAGCUAUCCUACCUGUAAAUAAAAAGCUUUAUUAUUAAUCAAGUUAUACAGCUCAUGCUUGUUCCAAGUAUUGUGGAUCUUCAUGCUCAGAAAUUGAAUUUUUUGGCUUCCAUGCCAAAAAUAUGAUAGAUAGAGGUGAUUUUUAUACUACAUGCCAGCCAACAAAUUAAUUGGACUAUUGGAGCAGUGCCGUUGCCAACAAAUACAAUACAUAAGUGCAUUUCAGGAAUCAUAUAUUAGCUGCUUCUCUUCUAGAAGUUCUAAAGUAUAAACAAAAUGAAAAAGUGAUUAUUUAAUCUAAUUUAAGGGCCUGUUUGUGUGGAAGUUUGGAGCAGUGCCACCAUCAAUAAGUGUAACUUUAUGACUCAUCGUAAUACAAAGUACGCACUAAUUGAUUUAAAAUCAACUAUGAACAAAGCCAAAUUGAAAGUUCAGCGGUUGAAACAUCAAACAUAAAAUAAGCACUUUUUGUUGCAUAGUGAGUAAGUCUAAACCAAACAAGUACUAGGCAGUUUCCCACCCUCUUCGCAGAGGAUAGUGGCACAUAUCCUUUUUCUCAACUAAAAUCAUUGAGUUUGCCCUGCCAUCUAAAUAAUAAGUCAACAUUUUCUUCUGUUUUCCACUUACAAGUCUUUAUCAUUUAAUCAAAUAUAUACUAAUAUCCAGCCUUUCAUAACUAGCACACCAAUACAGUCACAGUGCACAAUUAUAAUAAUAAUAUAGAUUAGACUAUAGUCACAACAAAUUCUCCACGCUUUAUUUUGUAUUUUCCACAUUUGAAUCUUCUGUCCUUAAAUACAUACACCUUGUAUAUGCUUCUUCUUCAUAUUAAUCACAUCCAAGCUCUACCACGCAACCAUGAGAACCCUUUUCAUUAUAUUAUUCACCAUUAUUUCCUUCUCAACAAUUUUGCCACUAUCCAACUCUCAAAAAAAUGACACUUUUUCUACUUGCAACGAAUCAUAUUUCACAUGUGGAACAAACACAAAUGUAUCAUUUCCUUUUUGGGGAAAGAACCGACCAAAUAUUUGUGGCAAAAAUGAGUUCAAACUCACUUGCAUGCAUAACCAAAAUACUUCUGUUCAAAUUGGUUCACAAAAGUUCAAUGUACUAAACAUUAACCAAACAGCUUCUACCAUGAAAAUUGUUAGAACAAAUCUUAUCAAUGAUAUUUGUUCUUCAAAUUUCACCAACACUUCUUUGAAUGGAAGUCCAUUUACUUUUCUUCCAAAUGUUCAGAAUCUCACUGUAUUCUAUAAUUGUCCCAUUGAAAAUAGUUCAAUUAUUGGAAAAAACAUAAACAGUUUUACGUGUGAAAAUAAUGGUAGCAAUAAACAUGUUUUCUACGUGGUGAAGAAUGAAACUCAGUUACAAAACCAAUUCUCAAACCUUCAGAACUGUGGGGCUAGUGUUCAAGUGCAAGUUUCUAUGGAUGGUGUUUCUGAGAGUGGAGUUGAGGUAGUGCAAGAAGGAUUUGAUGUGAAGUAUGAUGAAGGUGCAGGGUGGUCCUCAGAGUGUGAAGUGUGUAGGGAAUCUGGAGGAACAUGUGGUACCAAUCAGAAUGAUUCUUCUCAGUUUUCUUGUUAUUGUCCUGGUGGAACUCAUGCUGCAAAUUGUUCUGCUCGCAAAAGUAUGCUCUCUUUCUUUUCUUCUCUAAUUUUUCAUACAUAAACUUGUUUUAUUGGUCGUACAUUCAUUUUUAGCUCAUUCUACAAUUUUACUAAUUGGGAGAACUUAUCUAUUAACAUACAUAUUUGUAUGGAAGAACUUAUGCAAAUUACUUAUGUCCAUAAAUUGUUCAGCUUAUUUUCAUAAGUUCUCUAUAAAUGCUUACGAAAAUAAUUCAGACCUUAUCUGAAAAUAAUUGAUUUGAUUUAAUUAUUUUUAUAUGAUAAAUAUUCAUGUUAUAAGCACUUAAUUAAAUUGUCUAUUCAUUGAAAACAUUUUUUAGAAAACCAAUUUAAUACUAUUUUCAACAUCAGUACUGUAUCGGGUAUAAUAUGAUAUAGAUCAUAUAUACCAUCGCCUUUGAAAACAGAAAUAUUAUGUAUGAAUUCGAUGUUGCAUAGUGUAUUUUCUACUAAGAGUUUAAAGGAGUAAGAAUAAUUAUGCUGUGUCAUU